ACCACCGGGGGGUCUUGUUAAAAUACAAAAUCUGACUCAGUGAGUCCAAGAUUGGGGCGCAAGAUUCUGCAUUUCUAACAAGCUCCCAGGUGAUGCUCA
This 99-nucleotide microRNA precursor is filed under the name Sus scrofa (pig). RNAcentral describes it as "mir-544 microRNA precursor family". It matches the Rfam family "mir-544 microRNA precursor family". Lineage: Eukaryota; Metazoa; Chordata; Mammalia; Artiodactyla; Suidae. The record is from Rfam by way of RNAcentral.